AAAUUUCUAGUAAAAGGAAAAUCCGUUGAUUUAAAAAAUCGUGAGGGUUCAAGCUAUCCCCA
Molecule: transfer RNA, 62 nt
Filed under: Dampiera linearis
Lineage: Eukaryota; Viridiplantae; Streptophyta; Magnoliopsida; Asterales; Goodeniaceae
Description: partial tRNA-Leu
Source: RNAcentral